UACCUCUGACAGUGCAGCAGCUCU
This 24-nucleotide non-coding RNA is filed under the name Cricetulus griseus (Chinese hamster). Lineage: Eukaryota; Metazoa; Chordata; Mammalia; Rodentia; Cricetidae. The record is from RNAcentral.